Molecule: unclassified non-coding RNA, 441 nt
Filed under: Hevea brasiliensis (rubber tree)
Lineage: Eukaryota; Viridiplantae; Streptophyta; Magnoliopsida; Malpighiales; Euphorbiaceae
Source: RNAcentral
AGAGAGAGAGAGAGAUGGCCAACUCUUCCUUGAUGGCCAAUGCCACAAGUAAAGAAGCCUCUAUGGCUUAAGUAGGUUUUCAAUGUAGUUACUAGAAAGGGAAUUUUUUAGUCCUCUUUCCAAUAGAAAGUUUACAUGUAUAAAAUCAAAAAUUAAUUUUACUACAUAACAGUAAAUACAUCAGUGCUAAAUCCAUCAUACACCACCUUUUUUCCCAUUUUUCACUCUCCAAGAGCAAUCAAAGGCAGCCAAAAGAAAACUAAUUCCAAAGAUCUCAUUACAUUUAAUCCCAAUCUCAAGACAAUGCAAUGUUGCUGUUUAAUGGUAUAGACUAAAUUCAUAUGCUACUCAUAUGUUUCACAGAUAAAUUGUAUAAUUCAGUCCUUCAUGAUCUAAUAAGAGAUUACCUAACAAUUUACCUGAGAGAGAGAGAGAGAGAGA